RNAcentral lists this ribosomal RNA (820 nucleotides) under Septoria apiicola. RNAcentral's name for it is "LSU rRNA". It matches the Rfam family "Eukaryotic large subunit ribosomal RNA", at positions 75 to 924 of the family's 3401-position model. Lineage: Eukaryota; Fungi; Ascomycota; Dothideomycetes; Mycosphaerellales; Mycosphaerellaceae. The record is from RNAcentral.
UUGCCCUAGUAACGGCGAGUGAAGCGGCAACAGCUCAAAUUUGAAAUCUGGCGCAAGCCCGAGUUGUAAUUUGUAGAGGAUGCUUCUGGGUAGCGAUCGAUCUAAGUUCCUUGGAACAGGACGUCAUAGAGGGUGAGAAUCCCGUAUGUGACCGGCCCGCACCCUUUACGUAGCUCCUUCGACGAGUCGAGUUGUUUGGGAAUGCAGCUCUAAAUGGGAGGUAAAUUUCUUCUAAAGCUAAAUACCGGCCAGAGACCGAUAGCGCACAAGUAGAGUGAUCGAAAGAUGAAAAGUACUUUGGAAAGAGAGUUAAAAAGCACGUGAAAUUGUUGAAAGGGAAGCGCCUGCAACCAGACUUCGCGGCAGUGUUCCGCCGGUCUUCUGACCGGUUCAUUCUCUGUCGCGAGGCCAUCAUCGUCUGGGCCCGCCGGAUAAGACCUUGGGAAUGUAGCUCACCUUCGGGGGAGUGUUAUAGCCUAGGGUGAUGCGGCGAGGCUCGGGCGAGGUCCGCGCUUCGGCAAGGAUGAUGGCGUAAUGGUUGUCGGCGGCCCGUCUUGAAACACGGACCAAGGAGUCUAACAUCUAUGCGAGUGUUCGGGUGUCAAACCCCUACGCGUAAUGAAAGUGAACGGAGGUGGGAACCGCAAGGUGCACCAUCGACCGAUCCUGAUGUCCUCGGAUGGAUUUGAGUAAGAGCAUAGCUGUUGGGACCCGAAAGAUGGUGAACUAUGCCUGGAUAGGGUGAAGCCAGAGGAAACUCUGGUGGAGGCUCGCAGCGGUUCUGACGUGCAAAUCGAUCGUCAAAUUUGGGUAUAGGGGC